RNAcentral lists this ribosomal RNA (850 nucleotides) under Staphylococcus lugdunensis. RNAcentral's name for it is "partial 16S ribosomal RNA". It matches the Rfam family "Bacterial small subunit ribosomal RNA", at positions 601 to 1461 of the family's 1533-position model. Lineage: Bacteria; Bacillati; Bacillota; Bacilli; Caryophanales; Staphylococcaceae. The record is from RNAcentral.
AACCCCGCUCAUCGUGGUGGGUUUGAACUGAGAUGUGAGUGCAGAGAGAGAGUAGACUCCUGUGUAGCGGUAAAAUGCGUAGAUAUAGGAGACACAGUGCGAGCGUCUCUCUCUCUGUACUGCGCUGAGCGGCGAAAAGCGUGGGGCARCCAACAGGAUUAGAUUCCCUGGUAAUACACGCCGUAAAGGGAUGAGGUAGUAGGUGUCGGGGGGUUUUCCCCUCUUUCUUGCAGCUUUCACACUUAUAACUCCUCCUCGGGAGUACUCCGCACGAGGUAAAAUCUAAGAAAUUUUCGGGGGGGCGCACCAACAAGCGGAGCACCUGGUUUUAUUUUUAAACACCACGCAGAACCUUCUCUCAGGUUCGCAUCUCCCUGAACUCUCCUUAAAAAGAGAUUUCCCUUUGGGGGCAAAAGUGCCAGGUGGCCCAUGGUUGUCGUCAACUCGUGUCGUGAGAUGUUGGGUUAAAUCCCGCCACGAACGCAAACCUUCAACUUUUAUUUGCACCAUUUAGUUGGGCACUCUAAGGGGACUUCCGGGGACAAAUCGGAGGAAGGUGGGGAUGACGUCAAAUCAUCAUGCCCCUUAUGAUUUGGGCUACACCCGUGCUACAAUGGGCAAUACAAAGGGCUGCCAAACCGCGAGGUCAAGCUAAUCCCAUAAAGGCUUUCUCAGUUCGGAUUGUAGUCUGCAACUCGCCUACAUGAAGCUGGAAUCCCUAGUAAUCGCAGAUCAGCAUGCUCCGGUGAAUACGUUUCCGGGUCUUGUACCCCCCCCCCCUCCCCCCCCGAGAGUUUGUAACCCCCGGAAUCGGUGGAGUAACCUUUUAGUAGUUUAGUCCCUUCUUAAG